AUUGAACGCUGGCGGCAUGCCUUACACAUGCAAGUCGAACGGCAGCGGACCUUCGGGUGCCGGCGAGUGGCGAACGGGUGAGUAAUAUAUCGGAACGUACCUUUCAGUGGGGGAUAACGUAGCGAAAGUUACGCUAAUACCGCAUAUUCUGUGAGCAGGAAAGCAGGGGAUCGCAAGACCUUGCGCUGAUUGAGCGGCCGAUAUCAGAUUAGCUAGUUGGUGAGGUAAAGGCUCACCAAGGCGACGAUCUGUAGCGGGUCUGAGAGGAUGCUCCGCCACACUGGAACUGAGACACGGUCCAGACUCCUACGGGAGGCAGCAGUGGGGAAUAUUGGACAAUGGGCGCAAGCCUGAUCCAGCAAUGCCGCGUGUGUGAAGAAGGUCUUCGGAUUGUAAAGCACUUUCGACGGGGACGAUGAUGACGGUACCGUAGAAGAAGCCCCGGCUAACUUCGUGCCAGCAGCCGCGGUAAUGUGUG
This 478-nucleotide ribosomal RNA is filed under the name uncultured bacterium. Its description in RNAcentral is "bacterial SSU rRNA". It matches the Rfam family "Bacterial small subunit ribosomal RNA", at positions 30 to 529 of the family's 1533-position model. The record is from RNAcentral.